RNAcentral lists this long non-coding RNA (1158 nucleotides) under Phasianus colchicus (ring-necked pheasant). Its description in RNAcentral is "lncRNA (ENSPCLG00000001914.1)". The record is from RNAcentral. Lineage: Eukaryota; Metazoa; Chordata; Aves; Galliformes; Phasianidae.
CCCGGCCCCGGCCCGGCCCGCGCGGCCGCGGCGCGUUCCUGAGCCGUGGCUGCCCCCCAGUGGCGGCGGCGCGGCGCUCCCCUCCCGCGGCCCCGUUCCGCACCUGCCCGCUCCCCGCUGCCGCUCUGCGCCUCGGCGCGGCACCGCGCUCGGGGGCGGCUUCUGCCCCGGCUUUCAUCCGCCUGCGUGGGACGCGGCCCCUCCGCGCGGCUGUGCGGCACCUACCGCCGGGGCCGUCGCAGCGUGUGGGGCCCCGUGCGGGUUGCUGCCCAUGAGGUCACAAACGCCUCUCGGGGACUUCGUUUGCAGAGGAGCCAUAGCCGAACCUAAAAUACUGCAGAUGAGAAUCUAAAGCAGUAACAACCCUGACACCUCCAUUCCCAGCUCCUCCUUUGGGAGUGGCCUUCUCCCUCCGUCUUGACUUAGGGCACGACACAACAUUUGCACUGGGACAGGUCCCUUCUCCUGCCUUCUCCUCAGCUGCAGCUGUGCCCUGGGACGUGCCCAGUCGGGACUCCCAGCACUGUGCCAGCAUCACUGUGGAGCCGGGAGAGCUGCUUUGGCCCAGCUGCUCCCCAGCCUUCUUCACCUGACUGUCACUGCUGCAGGGCACACACGGCAUGGAGUUACCAGUGGAGGAUCUUUGGAGAACAUCCUUGGAUUGUCCACAGGCCCUUGUCUGCUCUGGUGCUGCAUCACUCCCUUUGCAGCCAUCCUGAAAGAACACUCCAAACUGCAGAAACUAAUAAUAAGCAGCACAUGUUGAAUUGUUUUUAUGUCUAUCCCUGGCACAGCUACAGCCUGGACAUCACAGUACUUUUUCUUCCCACUGUUCUCCAAAAGGAGGAAGAUCAACAACCCCUCAUGUUUUACAGAAGGGGAAAAGCAGUUUCAGUGAAAGGCUGUUUUUUAAGAGGUAUACAGAAGCCCAAAGACCUAUAUAGGUCACACUAAGAUUUUCGAGGAUGCAUAAUCAGGUUAGAGACACAAAUUCCUAAAACUUCAGAGAGACGUAAGCAGUCGGCUCAUGCAGACAUUUUUGAAAAUCCCAAUACCAAAUCUAUGCAACAGUUUCCUGAUGAAUUCUUGCCAUGCCUUGUUUGUCGUUUGUACUGAAAACCAUAAAUUCUAGAAGGAAUAAAAUCACCUCGUUUGGCA